GCCUUCGUGGUGUAGUGAUCAGCACGUGUGACCGAGAGGUCCAUGGUUCGAUUCCCGGCGAAGGCA
RNAcentral lists this transfer RNA (66 nucleotides) under Stegodyphus mimosarum. It matches the Rfam family "tRNA". Rfam says of the family: Transfer RNA (tRNA) molecules are approximately 80 nucleotides in length. Lineage: Eukaryota; Metazoa; Arthropoda; Arachnida; Araneae; Eresidae. The record is from Rfam by way of RNAcentral.